AAGUCGUAACAAGGUUUCCGUAGGUAAGUAGUGGUUGCGUCCUCUUCCUCUGUUAAAAACAUAUGCUAACGUGGAAUUUCUAGGUGAACCUGCGGAAGGAUCAUUAACGAGUUAGGGUCUUUCCGGCCCGACCUCCCAACCCUGUGUUUACUAAACCUUUGUUGCUUCGGCGGGCCCGUCUCACGACCGUCGGGGGACUGUAAGACGUCUCCUGACCCGUGUCCGCCGGUGGCCAAACUUAAUAAACUCUGGUUAAAAUGUGUCAUGGUCUGAGUACAAUUUUUAAUUAAAGUAAAACUUUCAACAACGGAUCUCUUGGUUCUGGCAUCGAUGAAGAACGCAGCGAAAUGCGAUAAGUAAUGCGAAUUGCAGAAUUCCAGUGAGUCAUCGAAUCUUUGAACGCACAUUGCGCCCUUCGGUAUUCCGAAGGGCAUGCCUGUUCGAGCGUCAUUAUCACCCCUCAAGUCCCUGGCUUGGUGUUGGACGGUUUAGCCUUGGUGACGAGGCCCGUUUUAAAAUUAAUGACGGCGGCCUGUUCGAUCCCCGGUACACUGAGCUUCUUAACUGAGCACGUAUAGGUUAAAGGGUAGGCAGGACCCGGUCUUCUUUCUUAACCGGAAACUCUUUCCAAGGUUGACCUCGAAUCAGGUAGGGAUACCCGCUGAACUUAA
RNAcentral lists this ribosomal RNA (671 nucleotides) under uncultured fungus. RNAcentral describes it as "eukaryotic LSU rRNA". The stretch from base 296 to 450 matches the Rfam family "5.8S ribosomal RNA". The record is from RNAcentral. Lineage: Eukaryota; Fungi.